GACUGCACCAAUUAAAUAAAUAAAUAAACAUUAUUUAAAAUGUUACAGUCCCUGAGGGAACCUGAAAGUUUGAACUGGAAACAUCUAGAACCUUCUUGGUUUUGGGUUCCUUUACAUCUGUGGAGGACUCAACAGAAACGAGUGCCUUUUCACGGCCGAGUGUUUCGACCCUCAUUACGAUCAGUGGACGCGAAUCGAACCGAUGCCCAUCCAAAGCAGUGUCGUGGGCAUCAUCGCUCUGAACAACCGAGUGUUUGCGAUGGUUGUGAUGGAGCCAACGUUCUGCAGAGCGUCGAAGCCUACAACCCUCAUACCAACUCCUGGAGAAUGCUUGCCUCCAUGUUUAACCCAUGAAGGAACUUUGGCGUCGAGGUGAUGGACGGCCGCUUGUACGUGGUUGGCGGCUACAGCGACGAAAGCACCACAUCCAACUGCGAGUACUACGACGAAGAGAGCGAUGACUGGUUCAACGUCCAGGACAUGAAUAUCGUCCGCGGUGCGGUGAGCUGCUGUGUGAUAUCCGGGCUUCCCAACGUCACCGACUACACCGUCAUGUACAAUGACCUUCUCUAGACACGGAGCUUUUAAAACGCUAUUAAACCACAUCCCAUUGGCAGAA
Molecule: long non-coding RNA, 619 nt
Organism: Ictalurus furcatus (blue catfish)
Lineage: Eukaryota; Metazoa; Chordata; Actinopteri; Siluriformes; Ictaluridae
Exons: 4
Source: RefSeq, a predicted model, not a curated record